GACGCUGCACAAAAUUCCUGGAGUGGUAGAGCAUCUGCUUUGCAUGCAGAAGAUCCUGGGUUCAAACGCCGGCUUUGUCA
Podarcis lilfordi (Lilford's wall lizard) is the source of this 80-nucleotide non-coding RNA. The record is from the annotation of a GenBank genome assembly. NCBI's taxonomy places the organism in Eukaryota, Metazoa, Chordata, Lepidosauria, Squamata, Lacertidae.